AACGAACGCUGGCGGCAUGCCUAACACAUGCAAGUCGAACGAGAUCUUCGGGUCUAGUGGCGCACGAGUGCGUAACGCGUGGGAAUCUGCCCUUUGGUUCGGAAUAACAGUUGGAAACGACUGCUAAUACCGGAUGAUGACGAAAAUCCAAAGAUUUAUCGCCAGAGGAUGAGCCCGCGUAGGAUUAGCUAGUUGGUGUGGUAAAGGCGCACCAAGGCGACGAUCCUUAGCUGGUCUGAGAGGAUGAUCAGCCACACUGGGACUGAGACACGGCCCAGACUCCUACGGGAGGCAGCAGUGGGGAAUAUUGGACAAUGGGCGAAAGCCUGAUCCAGCAAUGCCGCGUGAGUGAUGAAGGCCUUAGGGUUGUAAAGCUCUUUUACCCGGGAUGAUAAUGACAGUACCGGGAGAAUAAGCUCCGGCUAACUCCGUGCCAGCCGCCGCGGUAA
Molecule: ribosomal RNA, 449 nt
Filed under: uncultured bacterium
Lineage: Bacteria
Description: partial 16S ribosomal RNA
Rfam family: Bacterial small subunit ribosomal RNA
Source: RNAcentral